CUGCAAACACGAAAGUGGACGUAUAGGGUGUGACGCCUGCCCGGUGCCGGAAGGUUAAUUGAUGGGGUUAGCGCAAGCGAAGCUCUUGAUCGAAGCCCCGGUAAACGGCGGCCGUAACUAUAACGGUCCUAAGGUAGCGAAAUUCCUUGUCGGGUAAGUUCCGACCUGCACGAAUGGCGUAACGAUGGCGGCGCUGUCUCCACCCGAGACUCAGUGAAAUUGAAAUCGCUGUGAAGAUGCAGUGUAUCCGCGGCUAGACGGAAAGACCCCGUGAACCUUUACUAUAGCUUUGCACUGGACUUUGAAUUUGCUUGUGUAGGAUAGGUGGGAGGCUUUGAAGCGUGGACGCCAGUCUGCGUGGAGCCAACCUUGAAAUACCACCCUGGCAACUUUGAGGUUCUAACUCAGGUCCGUUAUCCGGAUCGAGGACAGUGUAUGGUGGGUAGUUUGACUGGGGCGGUCUCCUCCUAAAGAGUAACGGAGGAGUACGAAGGUGCGCUCAGACCGGUCGGAAAUCGGUCGUAGAGUAUAAAGGCAAAAGCGCGCUUGACUGCGAGACAGACACGUCGAGCAGGUACGAAAGUAGGUCUUAGUGAUCCGGUGGUUCUGUAUGGAAGGGCCAUCGCUCAACGGAUAAAAGGUACUCCUCCUCGAUGUCGGCUCAUCACAUCCUGGGGCUGAAGCCGGUCCCAAGGGUAUGGCUGUUCGCCAUUUAAAGUGGUACGCGAGCUGGGUUUAGAACGUCGUGAGACAGUUCGGUCCCUAUCUGCCGUGGACGUUUGAGAUUUGAGAGGGGCUGCUCCUAGUACGAGAGGACCGGAGUGGACGAACCUCUGGUGUUCCGGUUGUCACGCCAGUGGCAUUGCCGGGUAGCUAUGUUCGGAAAAGAUAACCGCUGAAAGCAUCUAAGCGGGAAACUUGCCUCAAGAUGAGAUCUCACUGGAACCUUGAGUUCCCUGAAGGGCCGUCGAAGACUACGACGUUGAUAGGUUGGGUGUGUAAGCGCUGUGAGGCGUUGAGCUAACCAAUACUAAUUGCCCGUGAGGCUUGACCAUAUAACACCCA
RNAcentral lists this ribosomal RNA (1065 nucleotides) under Pseudomonas syringae pv. actinidiae ICMP 19100. RNAcentral describes it as "bacterial LSU rRNA". It matches the Rfam family "Bacterial large subunit ribosomal RNA", at positions 1823 to 2925 of the family's 2925-position model. Lineage: Bacteria; Pseudomonadati; Pseudomonadota; Gammaproteobacteria; Pseudomonadales; Pseudomonadaceae. The record is from RNAcentral.